UCCUAUCGUGCAUCCUAAUUUUAACAGUACCAAUACCAAUUACCUUACUGGAUGAAUCAUUUCUCAUGCGCACAACUCCACCUUCAAUUGAACUGUAUGUGGAGAACCAUUCUCUAAUGGGACACAUGUAGAAAGAACAUCCCGAAUCUAGAAUCUACUCGGAUAUAAGUUUGUAGUUAUCACUCGUUGACACUAACAAGAAAUCAUCC
Molecule: long non-coding RNA, 209 nt
Filed under: Gossypium barbadense (sea-island cotton)
Lineage: Eukaryota; Viridiplantae; Streptophyta; Magnoliopsida; Malvales; Malvaceae
Description: long non-coding RNA (GBAR_LNC005102)
Source: RNAcentral